RNAcentral lists this ribosomal RNA (679 nucleotides) under Atopobium sp. RNAcentral's name for it is "bacterial SSU rRNA". It matches the Rfam family "Bacterial small subunit ribosomal RNA", at positions 136 to 844 of the family's 1533-position model. Lineage: Bacteria; Bacillati; Actinomycetota; Coriobacteriia; Coriobacteriales; Atopobiaceae. The record is from RNAcentral.
GUGAGGGAUAACUAGUCGAAAGAUUAGCUAAUACCGCAUGUGAUCUUUGGAUUAAAGCAUUUAUGCGCUUUGGGAAUGGCUUGCGUACGAUUAGAUAGUUGGUGAGGUAAAGGCUUACCAAGUCGACGAUCGUUAGAUGGUUUGAGAGGAUGAUCAUCCAGACUGGGACUGAGACACGGCCCAGACUCCUACGGGAGGCAGCAGUAGGGAAUCUUUCACAAUGGGCGAAAGCCUGAUGGAGCAAUGCCGCGUGCAGGAUGAAGGCCUUCGGGUUGUAAACUGCUUUUAUAAGCGAGAAAUAUGAUGGUAACUUAUGAAUAAGGAUCGGCUAACUACGUGCCAGCAGCCGCGGUCAUACGUAGGAUCCGAGCAUUAUCCGGAGUGACUGGGUGUAAAGAGUUGCGUAGGUGGCAAGGUAAGUAGAUAGUGAAACCUGGUGGCUCAACCAUACAGACUAUUAUUCAAACUGUUAAACUCGAGAGUGGUAGAGGUAACUGGAAUUUCUAGUGUAGGAGUGAAAUCCGUAGAUAUUAGAAGGAACACCAAUGGCGUAGGCAGGUUACUGGACCAUUUCUGACGCUAAGGCACGAAAGCGUGGGGAGCGAACUGGAUUAGAUACCCAGGUAGUCCACGCCGUAAACGAUGGAUACUAGCUGUUGGAGGUAUCGACCCCUUCAGU